UGGCUAAUGCGAGGGAUUUAGGAUCCCUUCUUCGGAGGUUCAAUUCCCCCCCCCAGCU
RNAcentral lists this transfer RNA (58 nucleotides) under Glossobalanus marginatus. Its description in RNAcentral is "tRNA-Leu". Lineage: Eukaryota; Metazoa; Hemichordata; Enteropneusta; Ptychoderidae. The record is from RNAcentral.